Molecule: unclassified non-coding RNA, 498 nt
Filed under: Hevea brasiliensis (rubber tree)
Lineage: Eukaryota; Viridiplantae; Streptophyta; Magnoliopsida; Malpighiales; Euphorbiaceae
Source: RNAcentral
UUAAGGUAGAAAUGGUUAACUAAAAAUCAUAUGCCAAAUAUCUCAGACAGGAAAUAUCACAUUCACAUGAAUCCAAUGUUAUCCCAAUUCAAAAGCAAUCUUUCAAAGAAUAACUAAGGAUUAAAAGGGUCAAAAAGAGCAGCAUCAAGAUAAGGCAGUCACAAGGAAAAAAAUGAUAACAUAAACAAAUUUAUGCAUUUCAUGCCAAAAUUUGUUUGAUGAAUCUGUUAGCCUUCAGUUAAAUCACGCUUAUCCAGGUAACUAAAAAUCCUCAAUGAUACAUAGAUUAGUUUAGAAAUUUAUAUCUUCCAAGAAAAAUUAGUUAUCGCGCAUUAAAUCAGUGAAUCCAUAACAACACUUAUGCAACAAACAAUACACUUCUGAAAUUAAAGACUUUGUCAAGUUUUUAGCCCAACAAAUGAUUCAAUAGAUUAUCAAUUUUCCUCACAUAACAAUUAUCUCUCAGCAAGCAUACCUGGUUCCAUCUUCCUCCAGUUG